Chlorocebus sabaeus (green monkey) is the source of this 3327-nucleotide non-coding RNA. The record is from RefSeq and is a predicted model, not a curated record. Lineage: Eukaryota; Metazoa; Chordata; Mammalia; Primates; Cercopithecidae.
CCAUGUUGGCCAGUCUGAUCUCGAACUCCUGACCUCAAAUGAUACACCCGCCUCGGCCUCCCAAAAUGCUGGGAUUACAGGUGUGAGCCACCAUGCCUGGUCCCUGUUUCUACCUAGCAACGUAGUUAGUCUUCCCAUCCCACUGUAUAACAGUUUCAGGAUGAUGCCGCCUCUCUAACUUGGAGUGCUGAACAGGAAGUAAGAGUGGGAUUUAAAGCAGUGGUUCUCAACCCUGCCUGUAUAUCAGAAACACCCACAGAACUUUGAAAAAUUACCUAGAGAAACUGCCCCACCUGACAUUUUGAUUCAGUAGCCUCAGGUGUAGUUUAAAAAGCUCCACAGGGGAGCUCUUUGCUUUUGCUGCUGUGGCCGCAGCCAUGAGUAUACUCAGGCUUCAGAAGAGGCUCACCUCUAGUGUCCUCCGCUGUGGCAAGAAGAAGGUCUGGUUAGACCCCAAUGAGACCAAUGAAAUUGCCAAUGCCAAGUCCCGUCAGAGGAUCGGAAGCUGAUCAAAGAUGGGCUGAUCAUCCGCAAGCCCGUGAUGGUCAUUCCCAGGCUCCAUGCCGGAAAAACACCUUGUCCCGCCGGAAGUGCAGGCAUAUGGGCAUAGGUAAGCAGAAGGGUACAGCCAGUGCCUGAAUGCCAGAGGAGGUCACGUGGAUGAGGAGAAUGAGGAUUCUGCGCCGGCUGCUCAGAAGAUACCGUGAAUCUAAGAAGAUUGAUUGCCACUUGUAUUAGAGCCUGUACCUGAGGGUGAAGGGGAAUGUGUUCAAAAACAAGCGGAUUCUCAUGGAACACAUUCACAAGCUGAAGGCAGACAAGGCCUGCAAGAAACUCCUGGCUGACCAGGCUGAGGCCCAUAGGUCUAAGACUAAGGAAGCACGCAAGCACUGUGAAGAGCACCUACACACCAAGAAGGAGGAGAUCAUCAAGACUUUGUCCAAGGAAGAAGAAACCAAGAAAUAAAAGCCACCCCCCUUGUCUGUACAUACUGGCCUCUGUGAUUGCAUAGAUCAGCCAUUAAAAUAAAACAAGCCUUUAUCUGCUUGCAAAAGAACAACAAAAUCAAAAAAACAAAAAACAGGUAAUUCUGAUGUACAUUUGAGGUUUAGGGGCUUGUAACCGUGUGGACUGGAAAUGAUCUAGGGAGGAUUUACAUGUUGUUCCUUAUCUGUCACAUACUGGAGAUCAAAUCCUUUCUUGAAAACCUGUUUUGACCAUGGAAAAAGCAGAUGGGGGAAACAAUAUGAUAGUCGAGUCAUUUGGGUAAGAGAGGCAAGAAUACUGAAAUGCUUUAGGGGAAACUUAGUUACUCGUGAUUUAGGUAGAACUGGCCUUGCUUACCUAUUUUGCCGGCUCCUAUUGUGGGAAAUUCUUCCUUUGAGCAAAAGAAUCUGUUUAACUGGGGCUUCAAGCUCUGGGAAAAGUGCUGAGUCUGCAUGUGGCCACUGUUAGUAUCACGAGUUUUCAGCUUCUGCUCCUGGGGCCAGUGAAGGGAGAUAAAGGGAAGUCAGGUUGAUUAUUAUUUUUAGAACCAGGAGACUAUCAAUGAGUCUUCUGAGCUAAUGAGAGCCUUCUGGUGAUUCCAGGAGGGUUAGUUAGGCCACAAGGAACUAUGAGGUCAGGUAGGAAUCCUGUUUUGUGUUAAGAGUUCUGUGAAUUCCAAGAUCAGGCCUUCUGUUACUCAAAUAGAAAAAAAACACAUUCCAGAGUUUAUUCUGUUUCAGUUUAUUCAUGCCAUUUCCCUCAGCUCCCUUAUCUCAUUAGUGUCGAAAUGCAAAAAUGGUAUACUUCUUUUUUGUAUAUUAAUGUAUAUCCUGCUAUCUAUUUAAAACAGUGUUUACAGCAUAGUAAAACAGUGACUUAGUUAUUGAGGGCUUACUAUGUACUGUGUGCCAGAGACUGGGCUAAGAAUUAUGAAACUGAGGCUUAGUAUGAUAAGGGGCAAAGUUGGGAAGCAUUUAUUUUAAGAUGUUUUUAAUUUAUUUUGCCCCGUUUUCUGAUAAUGUGCUUUUUCCUGAUAACCCAUUCAAGUAUAUUUUAAUUAUAUUCAUUUUUAAUCCACUUUUAUAAUUUACUACAUACUUUCUGCUAUUCUUAAACAGAGGCUACUGAAUUGAACUCAGGGAUCUUAAAGUCCCUUUGAACCUCAAGAUUCUAUUAACCUUUUGGGGAUGUCUCUAGCCUCACUCUGACCCUGUUAUUUACGGUGUAGUGAAGACUCAGGAGAUGGCUGAACAGGGUCUGGUGUAGUCGUGUCCUGGGCCUUGUUUCCCUGUAAAAGUCUCACUGUUCGUUUAUUUUUUGUCAUUUACCUUUUUCUCACAGAGGAUGGACCAUGCAUGACAUUGCGGGCAGAAUAACAUGUCUGCCCUUUGCCAGAUUAAUUUGUAAGUGAAUCAGGGGUUCAAGUAACCUCUCUAGUGACUUUGUUUCUUUCCAUCACCCUCUCUGUUGCCAUCGGGGCCCUUUAACUUGUUGGCUGAAUUCAGAAAGUUCUGAGCUUUUCAGCAUCUCUGACCUGCUGGAUCACAGGACUGUUGCUGUCAGUGUGAACGGCUCAGCCUAAGGAAAAGUAUUCAUCACCAUCUUGAGAAUUUGGCCAGUGUGUUUUGGAAAUGCCUUAUUCUAAAGUCUAUACCAUUUUCAUUAAACAGAGCUGACACUUCUGUAAAUGUGAUACUGAGCCAAAAAUCUGUAUGGUUUGUGACUUUUUUUCCCUAAUGGAUUUUGACUCCCUGGAGGUCAGGGCUUCAUAUUCUCCACAGCAAACUGGAGAGCUAGGAUUUAGAUAAGGUAGACGUUCUAACAAUGUUUCUUAAACAUGACUUUUAAAAUGCUUUAAGUAGAAGCCCUUACAAGUAAUAUCUGGAAUCUUUUUAAGUUUGAAAAUGGCUAUUUGUAUCAGAUUUAUAUGUCCUGGCUCUUAAUAACCUCCUAGUCUACCUGAUAAACCUGUGAAAUUGCACUUUCUUCCAGUAGAUAACUUUGCUGUUCUCAGGUGAAAUACUUUGCUUAUCCCUUGCCAGUCCAGCCUAGGGAAGGUGGCUGGACCUGAGCUGGGAAUUUUAUUUGAGGGAGUGGAAAUAGGAGGGGCUGGCCAAGGCUGAGUUAGAGGGCACAGCUCUUUAGUGGCCUGAGCUGGCUCUUUGGUGCAGCCGAAGAUUGUUAGAAUUUUAGAGGUGGCGAGACUUUAGAGGUACAGCCCAGUUCUCUUAUUUUACAGAUGAAUGAAAGAGAGUCCAAUGAUGUUAAGUGACUUUUUAAAGGCUGCAGAAGGCUGGGUGUGGUGGCUCAUGCCUGUAUUCCCAGCACUUUGGGAUGCUG